CCAGACAGACGGGCCUUGAUCCCGUAAAAUUUUAGUU
Molecule: transfer RNA, 37 nt
Filed under: Lissolepis coventryi
Lineage: Eukaryota; Metazoa; Chordata; Lepidosauria; Squamata; Scincidae
Description: partial tRNA-Asn
Source: RNAcentral